CCUACGGGGCGCUGCAGUGAGGAAUAUUGGUCAAUGGUCGGGAGACUGAACCAGCCAAGCCGCGUGAGGGAUGAAGGUACAGAGUAUCGUAAACCUCUUUUGUCAGGGAACAAAGGCGGGGACGUGUCCCCGGCUGAGUGUACCUGAAGAAAAAGCAUCGGCUAACUCCGUGCCAGCAGCCGCGGUAAUACGGAGGAUGCGAGCGUUAUCCGGAUUUAUUGGGUUAAAGGGGUGCGCAGGCGGUCUGUUAAGUCAGCGGUCAAAGCCCGGGGCUCAACCCCGGCCCGCCGUUGAAACUGGCAGUCUCGAGUUGGAGAGAAGUAUGCGGAAUGCGCGGUGUAGCGGUGAAAUGCAUAGAUAUCGCGCAGAACUCCGAUUGCGAAGGCAGCAUGCCGGCUCCACACUGACGCUGAGGCACGAAAGCGUGGGUAUCGAACAGGAUUAGAUACCCGGGUAGUC
RNAcentral lists this ribosomal RNA (459 nucleotides) under uncultured bacterium. RNAcentral describes it as "partial 16S ribosomal RNA". It matches the Rfam family "Bacterial small subunit ribosomal RNA", at positions 338 to 795 of the family's 1533-position model. The record is from RNAcentral.